This 779-nucleotide ribosomal RNA is filed under the name uncultured soil bacterium. Its description in RNAcentral is "SSU rRNA". It matches the Rfam family "Bacterial small subunit ribosomal RNA", at positions 1 to 785 of the family's 1533-position model. The record is from RNAcentral.
UAGAGUUUGAUCCUGGCUCAGAAUGAACGCUGGCGGCGUGCUUUACACAUGCAAGCCGAGCGAGGCGUGUAGCAAUACACAGUCGAGCGGCGAACGGGUGAGUAACGCGUGGAUUAUCUGCCCUGAGGUGGGGGAUAACCCGGGGAAACUCGGGCUAACACCGCAUAUGACCGUGAGGUCAAAGGAGGCUCGCAAGGGCUUUCGCCAUAGGAGGAGUCCGCGUUCGAUUAGCUAGUUGGUAGGGUAAUGGCCUACCAAGGCGACGAUCGAUAGCCGGCCUGAGAGGGUGAUCGGCCACACUGGAACUGAGACACGGUCCAGACUCCUACGGGAGGCAGCAGUGGGGAAUUUUGCGCAAUGGGCUAACGCCUGACGCAGCAACGCCGCGUGGAGGAUGAAGGUCUUUGGAUUGUAAACUCCUGUCGACCGGGAAAAAGCAACUCGACCUAACACGUCGGGAAGUUGAUUGUACCGGUGGAGGAAGCCCCGGCUAACUCUGUGCCAGCAGCCGCGGUAAUACAGAGGGGGCAAGCGUUAUUCGGAAUUAUUGGGCGUAAAGGGCGCGUAGGCGGCCUGGCAAGUGGAUGGUGAAAUCCCUCGGCUUAACCGAGGAACUGCCGUCCAAACUGCUUGGCUUGAGACCGGGAGAGGUGAGUGGAAUUCCCAGUGUAGCGGUGAAAUGCGUGGAUAUCGGGAGGAACACCAGUGGCGAAGGCGGCUCACUGGACCGGUACUGACGCUGAUGCGCGAAAGCGUGGGGAGCAAACGGGAUUAGAUAC